AUCACCUGAGGUCAGGAGUUUGAGACCAGCCUGGCCAACGUGAGGAAAUCCCGUAUCUACUAAAAAUACAAAAAUUAGCUGGGCAUGGUGGUGGGUGCCUGUAAUCCUAGCUAAUGGGGAGGCUGAGGGAGGAGAACUGCUUGAACCUGGGAGGCAGAGCUUGCAGUGAGCUGAGAUUGUGCCAUUGCACUCCAGCCUGGGUCACAAGAGCAAAACUCCAUCUCACAAAUUAAAUAAAUAAAUAAAUAAAAAUAAACUCUUUAGAAGAAAGAACAUAUAAACAAGAGUGGUAGUUUUAGACUAACAGAAACCAAUAUGGUAGCCACUAAGCACUUAUAGCUACUGAGCACUUAAAAUGUGGCUACUUUGUAUUGAAAUAUGCUGUAAGUAAAAUACACACUGGCUUUCAAGGCUUAUCAAAAACAGAAUGCAAAAUAUCUCAUUAAUAAUUGUAUAUUGAUUACAUGAAGUGAUAAUAUUUUGGAUAAAAUAUAUUGUUAAAAUGAAUUUCACCUGUUUUUAAUUUCCUCAAAUAUGACUACUAGAAAGUUUAGAAUUACAUAUGUGGCUCAAAUUAUAUAUUUUUUUCUUUUUCUUUUUUUUUGAGAGAGAGUCUCCCUCUGCUGUCCAGGCUGGAGUGCAGUGGCGCAAUCACAGCCCACUGCAGCCUUGACUCCCUGGGCUCAAGUGAUCCUCCCACCUCAGCCUCCCAAGUAGCUGGGACUACAGAUGUUCAUCACCACACCCAGCUAAUUCUUUUGAGGGGGAGGGGCGGGGAGUUAUGGAGGUCUUGCUGUGUUGCUCAGGCUAGUCUGAAACUCCUGGGCUCAAGCUAUCCUCCCACCUUGGGCUCCCAAAGUGCUGGGAUUACAGGCAUGCACCACCACACCCAGUCCCAUUUUCAUACCUCGAGGGGCUAUGUUCUAAGAAACAUAAUUUGGGAAAUACUGUUUCAAAGAUUAGUGUUAAUGAUUUAUUUUAUAAUUUAUUUAUUUUUCUUAGACCACAGAAUGAGAUUAUUUUUGAAAAUGGUGGGGAGGGUAGUAUUGAUCCUAGGAAUCAAGUAGUAUUUCCUCUCUUUUCAAAUUUAUAUCUUCAAACUCAGGUAUUUAUUGCCAUCAGUUAUCUGAUGGUAGCAGGUGAUAGAUGAAUCAUCCUUAUGGUCAUUUAAAGUUGCAGGAGGGCCGGGCACGGUCAUUUAAAGUGCGGGGUGCAGCAUGUAAUAAAUGCUCAAUAUAUUUUUUAAAAGAUCAUGAGGCCCCACGCUAUCUCUGCAUCCUGAACUUUCUGGUGCUACCUCCGGGAAGAUUUUACAUCUUAAGACAUGAGGGCACAACUGGAGUCAGAAAUGCCUGGGUUUGGCCCUGGGCGGUGGCUCAGUCUUGUAAUUCCAGCACUUUGGGAGGCCAAGGCGAGGGGAUCACCCGAGGUCGGGAGUUGGAGACCAGCCUGACCAACAUGGAGAAACCCCGUGUCUACUAAAAACACAAAACUAGCUGGAUGUGGUGGCACAUGCCUGUAAUCCCAACUACUCCGGAGGCUGAGGCAGGAGAAUUGCUUGAGGCAGGAGGUGGAGGUUGCGGUGAGCUGAGAUCGCGCCAUUGCACUACAGCCUGGGCAACAAGAGCAAAACUCCAUCUCAAAAAACAACAACAAAAAAAAUUAGCUGGGCGUGGUGGCGGGUGCUGUAAUCCCAGCUACUCAGGAGGCUGAAGCAGGAGAAUCACUUGAACCCAGAGGGCAGAGGUUGCAGCGAGACGAGAUCGCACCAUUGCACUCCAGCCUGGCCGAUGGAGUGAGACCCUGUCUCAAUAAAAUAAAAUGAAGUUGGAAAACCACUAAGCCACGGUCUAACUCAAACCCUUGAGUUUGCAGAUGAGCAAAUGAAGGUUUUGGGAGAUUAAGUGCCCUGUCCAAUGUCAGUGAGCACAUCAAUGUUUUACAAAUUGGAAAGCGGGGAAUAAAAAAGGUACUUAAAACAGGAAGUGGCCCAGAAACUAUCACCUACAUAAUCUCCUGUCCCUUAAGCUUCCCUCCUCCAUCAUUUGUUUACCUGUAAGAGAAAAUUACAUUUUCUAAGUGCGCCAUGAAUAUAGAUAUACUCCUUUCAUCCAAACAGAAACAGAGAAGAGAUUUACUACAGCAUCAAGCAGCACCUCAGAACUCUUUCAGCCUUCCUGGCGAAAAUGGACAAAGUUGCCCGGGCGCCGUGGCUCACGCCUGUAAUCCCAGCACUUUGGGAGGGUGAGGCGAGUGGACCACCUGAAGUCAGUAGUUUGAGACCAGCCUGGCCAACAUGGCAAAACCCUGUCUCUACUAAAAAUAACAAAAAUUAGCUGGGCGUGGUGGCGGGUGCCUGUAAUCCCAGCUACU
Molecule: long non-coding RNA, 2373 nt
Filed under: Homo sapiens (human)
Lineage: Eukaryota; Metazoa; Chordata; Mammalia; Primates; Hominidae
Description: HSALNT0228423
Source: RNAcentral